Molecule: long non-coding RNA, 438 nt
Organism: Populus euphratica (Euphrates poplar)
Lineage: Eukaryota; Viridiplantae; Streptophyta; Magnoliopsida; Malpighiales; Salicaceae
Exons: 2
Source: RefSeq, a predicted model, not a curated record
UGCUGCAGAUUAGAAAACCAAAAACAGCAGGUUCAGGCACUGCCAUUCGAGAUUCAGCACGUGAGCUGAACGCACUACUUGUGAGAUGGAUGAAUCACAUUGGAGAUUUUAAGUAACAGAAAUGUACUAGGUUGCAGAGAUCAUUCCAUCCAUACAAACUAAUUGCUUUUUCUGUCUCCGUAGAAGAAAAGUAUCAGAAAACACCAACUCAGCGCGAGCUACUUGGCUAGUUAGAGGAAAGCAUGACAGCAAAAUAGAAACAAAUUAUUGAAGGAUAAACCCUUGACAAGAGAAAGCAAGUUGGGUGCUCAGUAUAAUCUGCAUGCACCCACUGAACUCUACUGCCCAGGCAUAAUCACUCACCUACAAAACAAAGCCUAGUUCUAGUAAAUCACCCUUCACCACUACAUUUUCCAAGAAAUUAACUUGGAGCAAAAA